GCUCACGCAUGUAAUCCCAGCACUUUGGGAGGCCAAGGUGGGUGGAUCACUUAAGAUCAGGAGACCAGCCUAGCCAACAUGGUGAAACCCCAUCUCUACUAAAAAUAGAAAAAUCAGGCCAGGCAUGGUGGCUCACGCCUGUAAUUCCAGCACUUUGGGAGGCUGAGGCGGGUGGAUUGCCUCAGCUCAGGAGUUCGAGACCACCCUGGGCAACAUGGUAAAACCCUAUCUCUACUAAAAUACAAAAAAUUAGCUAGGCGUGGUGGCAUGCGCCUGUAAUCCCAGCUACUCGGGAGGCUGAGGCAUGAGAAUCUCUUGAGCCUGGUAGGCAGAGGUUGCAGUGAGCUGAGAUUGUGCCACAGCACUCUAGCAUGGGCUACAGAGUGAGAUUCUGUCUCAAAACAGAAGACAAAAAUUUGCUGGGUGUGGUGGCAGGUGCCUGUAGACCCAGCUACUUGGGAGGUUGAGGCAGGAGAAUUGCUUGAACCCUGGAGGCUGAGGUUGCAGUGAGCCGAGAUUGCGCCACUGCACUCCAGCCUGGGCAACACAGACUGUCUCCAAAAAAAAAAAAAAAAAGUAAAUACAGGAGUGGGCAAGCCCCUUUGAAAGCCAUCCCCGUCCAUUUUCCUCUUCCUCUGGCUUUACUUACUCUUCCCACUCCUGAUGGUCUCUAGCCUAGAGAUUUCCAGGUCUUUUGUUUGUUUGUUUGUUUGUUUGUUUUUUUCAGAGACAGAGUCUUGCUCUGUCACCCAGGCUGGAGUACAGUGGCGUGAUUAUGGCUCACUGCAGUCUUGAACUCCUGGGCUCAAGCAGUCCUCCCACGUCAGCCUCCUGAGUAGUUGGGACUGCAAGCAUGAGCCACCAUGCCCCACUAUCUCUUUUGUAUUUACUCCAGAACCCUUCUUUGGAAUGCCUACUGUGGGUAAAGCGUUGUGUAUCUCUCUUUUCAUAAUUCUUCUGUAUAGACAGAACUGAUUCUCAAGAAGCUCAUAUUCUAGUCUGGGAGACAAAUAUGUAUGUCGACAUUUAUAAUUCAGAAUGAUAGAGUGAUGAAUGCUAGAGGUGGAGGAGCACAUUAC
RNAcentral lists this long non-coding RNA (1079 nucleotides) under Homo sapiens (human). RNAcentral's name for it is "HSALNT0240908". Lineage: Eukaryota; Metazoa; Chordata; Mammalia; Primates; Hominidae. The record is from RNAcentral.